GCCUUGUGCAUACCCUGAUAACACACAGCGCUGGUGCAGUCCACCAGGAGCCUCUCAGAUGAAUCACUGCCCAAGGAAAUGGUGCUUUCAACCAGGCCACUCCUCCAAAGCUACACAAGUAUGCGUGUAAAUCUUCAAAUCCAGUCUUGUAUUUGCGUCAUUCAAAAAUUCGUGAUCACAGUGCUGUACUGGAUUGAAAGCAAGAAACCCUUCACCAAGUGCAAACCCUCAGUCUUGGACUUUCCAGAGAAGGCAAAAGAGAAGCUAACUGCCCAGUGAGUAGAGCGGAUGGUCCCUCGAUUCCAGGGAGUCAGGAUGUUGUGUCUCCUCUCCCAGGUCUCUUCUCCCUCAUACUGAUGCCCUUCAGUCGAGCUAAGCAAGAGCAUCCAACAAACCAAGGCAGCGGAGCAUGCAUGUGUGUAGGUGGAAAGAAUGACCUUUUCUAUGUCCUGCCCAACCUUCAAAGAUGCUCUUAAAUGGCAUGCCCCAGCUGCUGGCAUGCAUUUGGAAAAGCAACUCAAAGCUAACUGCUUGCCCCUGGAAUCCCAUUUAUCCAGAAAAAUUCAAAGUGGCAGUCAUCUAACCUUUGUAGAGUAACAAAACAUCAAUAUUUCCCUUAAACAGCUUCAAAAUAUACUUAUAGACAACAUUUUUGGAAAAAAAGAUAGAAGCAAUUACACAUAAAAAUCUGGCACAAUCAUUUUUGUGAGCUGAUUAUAGAAAAAGAAACCUAAUUGUCUUUUUUUUUUUUUUCAUGGAAGAAAGGAGAAGUCAGUAAGUGAUAAUGCACCUUAAGAGGUGACCAUCUGCCAAGCCACUAGGCCAAGCCUGACCCUAGCUGGAAGCUAUACACUUCCAUCUAAUAGAAUAAUUCCAACUCGGGGACUCUCCCAAGGCUGCAGCCUACCUUCCCCAACUCCUAGGCUCUAACAUUCAUUCCCUAUGGACUCCAGCCACUGGACACAGUUGCUUCCUUCUAGUCAAUACACUUAUUUAGAGCACCAUUAACAUUUUGAUAUUUG
Molecule: long non-coding RNA, 1022 nt
Filed under: Mus spicilegus (steppe mouse)
Lineage: Eukaryota; Metazoa; Chordata; Mammalia; Rodentia; Muridae
Description: lncRNA (ENSMSIG00000006217.1)
Source: RNAcentral